RNAcentral lists this transfer RNA (76 nucleotides) under Nitrospirota bacterium. Its description in RNAcentral is "Nitrospirae bacterium (sediment metagenome) tRNA-Gly". It matches the Rfam family "tRNA". From Rfam's summary of the family: Transfer RNA (tRNA) molecules are approximately 80 nucleotides in length. Their secondary structure includes four short double-helical elements and three loops (D, anti-codon, and T loops). The record is from RNAcentral. Lineage: Bacteria; Pseudomonadati; Nitrospirota.
GCGGGCGUAACUCAGCAGGUAGAGUGGAAGCUUCCCAAGCUUCAGGUCGCGGGUUCGAGUCCCGUCGCCCGCUCCA